Molecule: long non-coding RNA, 1082 nt
Filed under: Mytilus galloprovincialis (Mediterranean mussel)
Lineage: Eukaryota; Metazoa; Mollusca; Bivalvia; Mytilida; Mytilidae
Source: RNAcentral
CCUUCCUUUUGUGGUCAUAAACCUUGUGUUAAAAUUUCAUUGAUUUCUAUUUACUUAUACUAAAGUUAUUGUGCGAAAACCAAGAAUAAUGCUUAUUUGGGCCCUUUUUUGGCCCUUAAUUCCUAAACUGUUGGAACCAAAACUCCCAAAAUCAAUCCCAACCUUCCUUUUGUAGUCAUAAACCAUGUGUCAAAAUUUCAUAGAUUUCUAUUCACUUAAACUAAAGUUAUAGUGCGAAAACCAAGAAAAUGCAUAUUUGGGCCCUUUUUGGCCCCUAAUUCCUAAAAUGUUGGGACCAAAACUCCCAAAAUCAAUCCAAACCUUCCUUUUGUGGUCAUAAACCUUGUGUUUAAAUUUCAUUGAUUUCUAUUCACUUUUACUAAAGUUAGAGUGCGAAAACUAAAAGUAUUCGGACGACGACGACAACGUGAUAGCAAUAUACGACGAAAAAUUUUUCAAAUUUUGCGGUCGUAUAAAAAUUAAUAUCUAAAUACAUGGUUAGAUUUGGCAUAUCAAAGAACCCCAAUAAUUCAUUUUUUUGAUAAAAUCAAACAAAAAGUUUAAUUUUGGACCCUUUUGGCCCCUAAUUCCUAAACUGUUGGGACCAAAACUCCCAAAAUCAAUCCCAACCUUCCGUUUGUGGUCAUAAAACCUUGUGUUAAAAUUUCAUAGAUUUCUCUUCACUUAUACUAAAGUUAUUGUGCAAAAACCAAGAAAAAUGCUUAUUUGGGACCUUGUUUGGCCCUUAAUUCCUAAACUGUUAGGACCAAAACUCCCAAAAUCAAUCCCAACCUUCCGUUUGUGGUCAUAAACCUUAUGUUAAAAUUUCAUAAUUUUCUGUUUACUUAUACUAAAGUUAUUGUGCGAAAACCAAAUGUCUUCGGACAACGACAACGACGACAAUGCUAACGUCAUACCAAUAUACAACCAAAAAAUUUUCAAUUUUUGCAGUCGUAUAAAAACUAAAAUAACAAAUGCAAAUUUGUUUUGCAGUCGUAUAACAAGAAUGUGUCCACAGUACACGGAUGCCCCACUCACACUAUCAUUUUCUAUGUUUAAAGGACUGUGAAAUUGGAAUAAAU